This is a non-coding RNA of Paramuricea clavata, 1038 nucleotides long. NCBI's taxonomy places the organism in Eukaryota, Metazoa, Cnidaria, Anthozoa, Malacalcyonacea, Plexauridae. The record is from the annotation of a GenBank genome assembly.
AUUUAUGAAAUUAGGCAAGAAAGUCCAGAGUGCGACGCAAAAAGUUAACACAAGUACACAAUGGAUGUUAUGAGUCCACGACGUAUAUUUAUAGUUGUUUAUUAAAAAGUCAAACAGUCAAACCUUUAACUUGUCCUUGUUUAAAUAUCCUUCUAUAUGUUGUAUAAAUUCGCUGGGUCCAAAUUUUAUGGUUUUCGAGUCGUUACACAAAGAAAAACACAUUAAUUCAACACGCAAGAAAGUCCAGAGUACGACACAACGUAAAAUCCAUAGGAAACCAUUUUCUCUGAAAAUUCAACGAAACUGUGUAAAAUAUAGUUUGAUCACUCUGUGAAAAGUCGCCAUUGGAGUUCGGAAUUGUGCGCGUGCGUACAAGUGUAUGGGCUAAUAAACGAAAAAUAUACCACAAGCAUGGCAUGAGUCGACUAUUACGUACAUAAAUACGAACUUAUUACUAUACUAUCUAAAUCGUGAAACCGAGGGAAUCGAUGGCAUUUUGGCUUAAUCGUUGCACCCUGAGCCUGCGAUGAGCUAACGCAAACUCCAUUUCUCGAGUACGGAAAAAAACCCCAGAAAAAGAGGGAUUUAAGACACUUGGCCUACAGGCCAGUGUAGUGAGGGAAACAUGUUGAAAUUAAAGCAAUGUUGGAUCAAAGCGGCAUGCUGAAUUUGAUAUGUUCAAUGGCGGAAACAUGUUGAAUUAAUAUCGACAUGAAUAUUGGCUGAAAUCUGACGCCAUAAUUUUCACAACCCGCACACCCGAUUACCUAUAUAUAUCACGACCCGCACACCCGAUUACUUAUCACAACCCGCACACCCGAUUACCUAUAUAUACAUGAACGUACGGUUACAGCCCAACAGCUGGCCUCUGUAGCUCAGUUGGUUAGAGCGCUGCACCGGAAUCGCAAGGCCGUAGGUUCAAUUCCUACCAGAGGACCUUGUGCUGCAUUUUUCGCAGUCGUUCCUGGUUAGGUCUUAAAAUGUAUAUAUUCUCACUUGGAUAACAAACCCUUACAUUCUAAUAGUUUUCAUUACAAC